AGAUGGAGAAAUGUGAACUACAUAAUAAUAGAACGGACCUGCCUCUGCAAAGAUUUAUGAGAGAUGCAUCGCUCAUCCCUUCUUCAGGUCCAGAUUUAGAGAUAAGGACUCGCGCUGGGAUUUUGUUUGGCACCUUUCCAGCAUGUUAUGGACCAACUUAGUUCCCUAAAGCACAGCGUUAAGUAGUUUACCCAGUUACCUAUCCAGGAUAUGCUAAGGCCUGGACCUUUUUCCUGGAGUCUUCAAUAUCAGGGAUCUUCCAUGUUCCCAAUUGAACAUGUCUGGAUGAGACAGACCCUGCCUUUCCUUCUACAACCCCUAGAAUAUGAAAAAUUCUGAAAAAUAAAAAGACUUAAAAAGGGCUGAUUCACUGAAGUGAGCAGAACAAUGGUACCCAAUCAGGAAG
RNAcentral lists this long non-coding RNA (406 nucleotides) under Sarcophilus harrisii (Tasmanian devil). Its description in RNAcentral is "lncRNA (ENSSHAG00000029468.1)". The record is from RNAcentral. Lineage: Eukaryota; Metazoa; Chordata; Mammalia; Dasyuromorphia; Dasyuridae.